GCGGCCGGCGGCGGAGCCCGGCCAGGGCGCAGCGGGCGCGCGCCCCCGACGAGCAGGCUGAACUGCGGGGUCGCGCGCAGAGCCACGCUCACCAAGAGCCCGGCCCCGCCCUACGGGGUCUGCGGCAGGCGCCCCGCGGGGCGGGCGGACCCCUCCCUUAAUGACCUCUACCUGGGCCGCCUCUGACCCGGGAGGGGCGCGGUGGGAGGGGCGCAGGGGCGGGGAGCGCCGCGGGGCGGGGGCCUUGGGCUUCUGGGUUAGUGACAGGCGCGCCGGGCCGCCGCCUCUGCGGCUCGGCCCGGGAGGACUAGGAAGUCCGGGCAUGUUAGUGAAAGUGGGACCGAACCGUAAGCUCUUGCUCUCAGUUUGGAAUAUUCUGGGUAAGCUGGGCAGACGCCAAGGAGCAGCUACCCCUCUGCACCAGGCUCUUCUCCCCACCACCUCUCCCCAGGGGACGUCUGGACACAGGAAAUUUCAGAAGACAUUUUCAAAGCUAAUUAUGAAAAAAUUUGUCAUUGGGAUUGGUGGUGUGACAAAUGGUGGGAAGACAACAUUGGCUCAAAAAUUGCAAAAACAUCUCCCAAAUUGCAGUGUCAUAUCUCAGGAUGAUUUCUUUAAGCCACCGUCUGAGAUAGAGACAGAUAAAAAUGGAUUUCUGCAGUACGAUGUGCUUGAAGCGCUUAACAUGGAAAAAAUGAUGUCCACCGUUUCUUGCUGGAUGAAAAGCCCAAGACACUCUCCGGUAUCAACAGACUGGAGAAACGCUGAGGAAGUUCCCAUAUUAAUCAUCGAAGGCUUCCUUCUCUUUAAUUUUAAGCCCCUUGAGACUGUAUGGAAUAGAAGAUACUUUCUGACCAUUCCAUAUGAAGAAUGUAAGAGGAGGAGGAGCACGAGGGUUUAUGAGCCUCCAGACCCUGAAGGGUACUUUGAUGGCCACGUGUGGCCCAUGUAUCUAAAGCACAGAGGAGAAAUAGAGAGCAUUGAGGAGAUUGUUUACCUGGAUGGGACAAAAUCUGAAGAGGAACUCUUUUCACAAGUGUAUGAAGAUCUAAGACAGGAACUUGCAAAGCAAAAAUUGUCCUGCAAAGCCAGCCUGGAGGGAUCCUCAGAAUAACCCGCUGUGACCCUUAAUUCAGGAAUGAGCUAGUGGGGAGGAGUUUCAGAUGUUUCAUUUGACUACACUUUACAUUUCUCAUAACAUCUCAUAACCCUGAUCAACUAAUUUUCCACUCUAAGCAUGUAAAAGCGUAAUUGUGAUAAAGUCAUAAUUAUGAAUGGGAAACAACAAAGACUGAAUUUGAUUGAUAAGAAACACUAAAUGACCCAGGAGAAUAAGGAUGUGAAGUUAUAUAUUUAAUUCCAUCCUUCUUAAAUCCAGACGUUGAAGCGAAUUUGAAUGAUUAUCUAUUCUCACUAUAAUAAGGCAGUCUAGUCACUAGCAUCAUUCAAACAUCCUUUAAGAAUAUUUACUUUUACCUCAUGAUAACAGUAUCCUGUCUAAUAAAGAGGGAAUAUGCAAAUUGACCAUCAUGCUAUCACAAAGAUGGCUGUGCCCUCAGCAGAGGCUGAAUUCCCAUAACAAGCCUUAACGAGCAAUCAGCAGGGACCUGAGGUUGAGCCCCCCACCCAGUGCUGGGCCAGGAGACCUGAGUUUGCACCCCCUACCCAGAGGGGCCCGCUGGGUCAGGGUCUCACAUGAUUUUGAGGCACCGUGGGUGGGUUGGGACUUGACUUUGGGUCCCACAGCACAUCCCAGACUCUAACGGGAGGAAGAUUUUCAUAUACAUUUUACUAAUUUUCUUUAAUCUCUAACACUUAUAGAGAAGGGUAAAUAGCAAUAUUAAAAUAUUUCCUUAAUUAAUCCCCUUUUAAUGUGCACGAAUUUCAUGCACUGGGCCACUAGUAUUGAUUAUAAAACAAAUUUUAAUGUAAAAGCAAAAGGAGAAAAAAAAUCAUUUAUAUGUCCACCAGUCAGCAUGUUAACAUUUUAAUGAGUAUACAUCCAGUGAUUUUGCUGUUCACAUUCAUCUGUCUUUUAUAUGGUUACAUGGUUCAUUGUGAUGCUUGUUUCCUUUUAAAGUUAAUAUUUAAUAUUUAAGAAGCUUUAUGGAGUCCAUUAUAUAAUGAAACUGAAUAAAACUAAAUUGCUCUCCCAGUU
Pipistrellus kuhlii (Kuhl's pipistrelle) is the source of this 2158-nucleotide RNA transcript. It is a transcript of the gene named nicotinamide riboside kinase 1, with no coding region annotated. NCBI's taxonomy places the organism in Eukaryota, Metazoa, Chordata, Mammalia, Chiroptera, Vespertilionidae. The record is from RefSeq and is a predicted model, not a curated record. The transcript has 11 exons.